This 8377-nucleotide long non-coding RNA is filed under the name Lactuca sativa (garden lettuce). Its description in RNAcentral is "long non-coding RNA (LSAT_LNC001933)". The record is from RNAcentral. Lineage: Eukaryota; Viridiplantae; Streptophyta; Magnoliopsida; Asterales; Asteraceae.
UGAUUUGGCCUUUGCAAUCCUCUUCUUCUUGUCAGCAAUUCUCGCCCUCUUCCUUUGAAGUGUAAGUGGUGUCACCAACCUCUGUAUCUUAGGAGCCUUGCUCACCUCCUUACCUGUAUGUAUCAAAAAUUACCAUUACACCCUCCAAUCAAUGAUUCAUUCUACUAUAUACCCUUUUGCAAGAGACAUAAAAAUCAAAGGCUUACCAGCUUUGUUUGUGAAGGUUCUGCGAUAGGUGUUGACAUACUUCCUGACAUCAUCUUCUUUUGAGAGAUUGAAAAGCUUGCGGAUCUUUGAUGCUCUUUUGGGUCCCCUCAUCCUUGGCUUCUCAACAUCGGUCAGUCCGGGCAGGUCAUUGUCACCCUUCUUCACAAUCACCAAAUUCAAGACAGACAGAUCUUGGCUCACAAUGCACCCUCGCACAGACUUCCUCCUGCGUUCACCAUUACGCCUUCCAUACCCCCUGAAGCAAGGAGUACCUAGAUAGGGGCAAAAAAGUCAUUUACUUAAUAUCAAAGCAAAUUGAUUAAAGUAUAUAAAGUUAAAGACUUUAACACAAACCAACCUCGGACAAGUAAAAGACGAACACGCCCUGGAGUCAGCACUCCUUGCUUCAUUGGGAAACCUUGUUUGUCACAUCCUCCCAUGAUCUUGAAAACGUAUCCCUUAAACUCCUGUUCAUCAAAAGAGUAUAGAAGUUGAAUAUCUAGUUAUUGGUUUAAUCAGAUUUUAGUAAUACAAAGUAUAGAUGGAUAUACCUCUCCAAGUGCAUCUCCAUUGACUUCCUGGGAGAUCCUCUUGUCAUAAAAAGCACGACUGUAAAAAUUUUGUUAAAGCAAUAAGUGUUAAUCAUCUCAAUGAUCAAAAGACAAUAACUUUCAAAGUAUAAAAAGAAUGAAUGCAAGAAACUUAACACUCUAAUCAAGUUUUUUUUUGAAAGAACAAAAGGCAUAAAAACGUCCAGCUUUAUCAAAUACAUGUAGUGGAAACAAAACAGAAAUAACAGCUAGGAUUCCAAAUCAAUGCUCAAAACCAGACAUCAAUAAGAACUGUAAAAAAUGAAAUAUCAAUGCACACAAAAGAUAGCCAACUGCAAUUCCUAUUUCUUUUGGAUAAAGAGAGCAUGUGUUUAACAUGAUCAGGGUAAAUCAUCAAAAAAUGAGAUAUUGUUCGAUGUAGAGAAGGGAUUUCAUUUUUUAGAUUGAAGGAUCACUAGACAUGUUCUCAAAAUCUAUUUGCACGCUAAACAAGGAAUCUGUCAUUUCUACAGCUAGAAGCAGAGAUUAACGAGUACAACUAUCUACAGCAAGAAUAAGACAACUGGGUUAACAUUCAACAGGAUUGCUACGAAUAAAACAGAACUACUGGAGUCAAUGCCAGCAAUUCUCUAGAAAUAAGUUCAAAUAUCAAUUUGUGAAGUUGUAGUGAGUCUAAAAAACAAAUAACAAAUAAGAAAAGAGCUUACAGCUUUUGGUCAUCGUCAAUUUCGAGUUUCUUCUGGCAUCCAGUAGUUGGAUUUGCAAUAUUGAACUAAAAAAAUCAUCACAAGUACAGUCACAAAACUACGCAUAUAUAAUUAUGGAUGUGAUGAAAUCAGGUUUGAAGAGAUGGUACCUUCAUCUUCGGACAAGGAGGAGGAGGCCGCCGCGAAGAUGAUUUGGAAACAACGUUUCUUCGUUUCUUGAUGAAUUAGGGUUUUUGAACGUUGUUUAAAGCGUUUUUAUAUCCGGUGUAUAAUUUGCUUGAUUGGGUUAUUGGGCUUUUCUGCACAUGGAUCAAGUCAUCAAACAUUCAAACUGAGUUACUGAGAUACGAGUAAUCUCUAGAUUUUUUUUUUCAAUAUGAUUUACUAUUUAACUUUAUUAUAUUUUGAAUGUGUUCGACGAACUGGGUGGUUAGUUUGUAGUUUUUAUCGUUAGGUUAAACGCUACAUGAGUAGCUUUUGGAUUUGGAGCGUUUUUUUUAAGUAAACUAUAAAAGUUUGUAGUGUCAAAUAAUAUUUUCUGUUCAAAACGGAACAUUUUAUCAAACUCUAGAAGCUAGAAUCUCUCAAACGCUUUAUACCGAACACGCUAUUUAUUAUAAGUAAAAUAGAAAGAAAAAUACAUCAUCAAAUACAAAAGGCGAAAAUAUAGAAAUAAACUAAGUUUUUACGUCUUUGUUUUAUUUGUUUAGAUUUGGACUUUAUUAGGUCAUGGUAGUCUUUAUCUUACUCAGUAGAUAGAGGUGAAGUCCUUGAUUUUUAGAUCGUUGUCGUUUUCGUCUUGCUUAAUGAGUGGAGGUGACAGAUUCUGCUUCAAGUGAAAUGAUGAUAUAUCGCUUCAUGUUAUCCGAUUAAUCCUUCAAACAAAUAUGUAAUUCCUUUGAUCGAAGAGGGGGUUGUUCUCUAGAGAUAUAUUAUUUUACCACUAAAGGAAAAAAUAGAUUUUAAAAUUAUUGGAGAAAUCCCGACGGUUAGUAAAUCACACACAAUGUCAAUAGUAUUAGAAAUAUUGGUUUAUUUUAUUUCCACCCAGACAAAAUAUCUAGAUUUCUUUUUAAACUCUUUAUUGGUCCAGUUUCGCUAUUAGGAAUACAAGUUUAUGCUCUUUUAGUCUUUUACCAACUUCAUUUCAUAAAUAAUCAAAAAGUUGCAUAUUAUAAUUGUUGGCUUUAUAUACCAUAAACCUCACCGAAUUUUGCAUGUGGGAACAUAAUGGGAAACUUAAUUUCUUGAGAGUGAUUAUGGUAACUCUAAUCCGGAUUAAUAUUACUUGUUUCCAAAGCAACCAAUGACGGCCCAAACCUAAUGAAACCCUAAUCUUGUUUAAUAUAUAAACGACUCUUUUUAUACAGAAGAGGGGGACAUUCUUUAGCUCUUGUUUUUCAUCACACAUUCACAGAACCCUUUAGCAUAUUGGCUUACGUUUUUUGUGCCUAGAAACGUAAGUGUCCACUUAGAUUAUUCUAGACCGAAUUUCUUGUAACCCAGACAUAUGGUAGAAAUAUCAGUUCGGAAAGUGAUAUCACGAUCCAAGUUGGUAUCCAGAUCUCCAUCACAAGCCCUAAAUUUCCCAACAAACACAUUCUUUAAAAUCUAUGAAGUGUGAAUCCUUCCUUCGCUUUUAUUAAUUUCAUUCAUUCUGCUUCUCCGUCGCUAUCAUCCACAUCUCUCAUUACUUGAUCCUCAUCCGCACUAUCAUCAUCUACAUAUGUUUGAGAGCUCACUACCUCUCCUGUCAAGUUCUUAUGUUUCAAGUUGUCUAUCAAAAUAUGAUUCUAUUGUUUUAGCCAUUCAACUAUUAUAUCAUUAUAAUGAUAAUAAAAAAACAGAAUUUGCAUCCACUUGAUGAAGAAUGAAGAAUAGCCUUACCAAUAAUAACAUGAAAUAACAAACGUUCCAAAGAUCUAUUGGUUGCAUGAAUUUUACCAGUGAUACUUGUUUGUUUAAAACCCUUCAAUAUCUAAACAUAGAUAUAAGCAAAAUAUCUAAGUAAAUGUCCAUGAUUAGACCAAACGUAGUGAAGGCACCGCUUGGCGUAUGUGACAUACACCAUCGAUGAUGGCAUGCCAAGUUGAUAAGCUCCAAACCAUUUUUUUUCCAAAUGUUGUAGCUUUCUUUUUUAUUUUAAUAAAAGACAAAACUGCGAGAUUGGUCCUUAUGGUAUUCAAAAAACUUUGGAUGGGGUCCAAAAACUUUAUGACUUGCAUAGAAGGUCCAAAAUCAAGAUUUUUCCGUAUUUUUGGUCCAAAAAAACUUGAAAAGACGGUUAUGCCAUUUUACUUUCUUUUUUGUAUUUUUUAUAAAUUUUCAAAUACUAAUUUAAUUUAAAAAUAAAAAAGAAAAGAAAGCAAUUAUCCCCCAACAACCUCUCUCUCUCUCUCUCUCUCUCUCUCUCUCUCUCUCUCUCUCNCUCUCUCUCGUUUUAAUUCCCAGAACACAAUCCGUCACUAUCAUCUUCUUCACAACCCAACUCCACCCUUCUUCCUUUCUUACGCGUCGGUCCUCUCCAUCAUCUAGUCGAGCACUAUGCUCACAUAUUAGAUGGAAGAAAAGGAAACCCAUCAAUCAACACAACAACCAUCAUUGUCAAAAAAAAAUAACCCAAACACCUUUGUCGAGCUCCACCAUCCACGAGAGCAGAGUGCCGAAAAAAAUAGAUCAGUGGUCUAACUGCUACCAAGAUCUUCGUCCUUAGGUACACUGAAAAAUCCAAGUUUUAAGCCCCGUUUUUGUGUUGUGGUUUUCAUCUUAAAGGUUAAUCUCCAUAUUCAUAUUGACUGUACUUUUUUACUUUGGGGGUUAGCAAAAUCGACGUCACCGCCAUCUAAUUCUCGUACUCCUCCGUUACAACCACCAGCAAUCACCACCGCUGCAACCAACAGCGGCCACCAUCGCUGCAAUCUCAUAUGGGUUUUCUAACCUGCAAUAUAACCCAUAUAUGAUGGGUAGAAAUCAGAAGUAUAGAAUUAACCCUCACCGGUGACUUACCUAAUAAAAUUUGGGGGUUAAAGAGUCUUGAAGUGAUUGACAUUAAAGGGAAUUUGGUUACUGGAGGCUUAUCCAUGAUCGAUUUCUCCAAUUUAAAGAAGUUACAGGUUCUUUGAUUGGAACCCUAAGAUUCUUCUGACAAACAGUUUUUGGAUUUUGACUUGGGUAAGAUAAUAGAGUAGUGUGUUGUUAAAGGGGAAAGGGGGUUUCAUUGUAUGUUUAUGGGACCGAUGGUGGGGUUCAAUCAGCAGGAGGCUGAACAAAGUGAGGGGUAUGCCGAUGGAGUUGUGGAAGAUUCUUAACGAUGAAUAUGAAUGAAUCUGGGUUAGGUUAGGAGAGAGAGAGAGAGAGAGAUGGGAGGUGGGUGGACCCGUCCUUCUAUUUUUCUUUUCUUUUGCUUUUUUUGUUAAUUAUAAAACAAUUAAAACAAAUAAAAAAAAUGUGAAAAUUAAAUAAUAAGGGCAAAAUAGUCCUUUCAAAUUUGCAAGGACCAAAACCAAAGAAAAUUCUUGAUUUUGGACCUUCCAUGUAAGUUGAAAACUUUUUGGACCCCAUCCAAAGUUUUUUGUAAACCACAAGGACCAAUUUGGCAGUUUUGUCUUAAUAAAAUGAUUGUUUUUUUUUUCAAAUGUAUUAAAUUAAAAAAAAAAACAUAAAUAAAUAAAAUCUUGACCCGCUUCCUGAAAAUGACAUGUCAUUCAUGUUGUGUUGAAAAGAUGACAUGACCAGUGAGAUAGAUGUCAAAAAGUUUAUGUGGCGACUUAACAUGUCAUGUGCCACUCCGUCAAACAUUAUAAUAAAGAAAAAAACUAUAGCUUUGCUUCCGAACAUAACGUUUGUAUUGUUCUUGUCACUUAAACUAAAAAAUCCACAUUAAAACUUCUAGUUUAAUUCAAACCAAUUAAUUGGUUUAGUAAAAACUAAAAGUGAAAAAUUGCCUUACAAGUUGAAAAAUAACUUGAUUAUGGCCCUCAAAAGUGGGUUUCUAAGAACUCAAAAACUACACAAGCCUCCUCAAAUAUCAAUUUAAUUCAAGAUUAAUAACUAAAGAACAUUUUAUCUUUGCAUUUAAUAUAACAAAUUUCAUAAUAUUCAUCUCAUCAACUUUAAGUCAUCAACUUUAAGUGAGAGGAGUUGGGAGGAAAAAGGAACAAAAGCAAAUAGCUAAAAGGGUUAGCUCCUUAAUACACACAAUUAAACCAUGUUUUAUGAAAUAGUCAUGUAUGUCUAUCUAGAUUAAACUCAUCAAGUCAAAAAGAAACAGCCGCUUAGGGCGUUACACAUAUCUUUUACGAACGAAUCAACAAAGUUUGAUCCACUAUUUUGAGAACAUCAACAUACAUUAAAUUUUUUUACAUCAAAAGGGGACUUAGACAAGUUUUCUAAGAUGAUAAUGAAAUUUAUGCAUUUUGCACACGCGAAGCGUUGAAUGACUUUUUAGGGUGAAACACAAAAUUGUAAUUUUCGUCUUAUUGAUAUCAGUCUCGGUUCUAGCUUCAAUGAAUGUCAAACACAAUACAACAUGUUCUUUCAUAUCAUGUCAUGUUAUUUCAUGUUAGUACCUUUUCACGAGUCCUGCAAAUGAUUAACAAUGAUACAACUACAUUUACGGAUUGAUAAAGUUUAUGCAUAAUUAGUUGCACGUCAUUUGGUGAGGGGUAGCUAUUAAUUUAUUUAUAUGAACAACUUCUUUAAUCUAAUGUAAUAAAAAGUUGCAUUGAUAAUCAUCGUAACUUGUUACUUAUGAUUUUCUUUUUUUGAUAAAAAAAAAGGAUGAAUUAUUACUGGCUUCUCAAGUAUAACGAAGUUUUAUUCAUGCUGCAAAUAAAACAAAUUUCUGUUAGUAACUAGUAUUAUUUACAUAUUAAUUUGCAAUGUUGAUCGCCCCUUAGACGAUCUCCAUUCACAACCAAAUCCAACUCAACUAUCUAUUAAAAUAUUAAUUUCCUUUUCUUCCAUCUAUACAAUCAGCUAACCUUAAAUUUUUACAACCAUUAACAACUUUAUCCAACCAAACCCAAUCUAACAUUUGAUAUAAAAAAGAUAUAAAAAAUUAUCAAAAAAAUAUAUCAAUGGUGAUAUCAUUUUGUAGAUAAUUGUUUUCUACAUAUUUUAGUAUAUUUUAUUUAUUUAUUUUACAAAUAUAUCAUUUAAUUAUUGAUAAAGUAAAUAUAUUAAAAAACUAAAUUAAAAGAAAAACUGAGAAAUAGACAAGUGGUAGAGAGAGAAGUGCCAACCAACCAGUGUUUUAGUCACCAAUGAGAGUAGUCUUACAAGGUUACCGUUCAUUUGGUUUUACUAUUUCCAAACCAAAAAUUGAUAAAUUCAUAUCACACUACCAUCUUUACAGAAUAUAAUACAAGAUGCAAAAUAACCAUUUAUCUGGAAAUAGCGAUUUUAUGCCAAACAGAAAAUGUUGAGGAGCAUAGAGUUGUAAAACCAUGGCUUGUUUCCUCAACUGUAAAAGAUACCUAACACCAAAUAAACAACUUUUGUAAUCUUAGAAGAAAAUAUUGAUCAAUUUUUAAUAUAUAAUUUUGUAGAUUACUAGUGCUAUACUCACCAUAGGCAAAAUACAACAUGCAAGUUCAUCAAGUGUUUGUGAAGUGGACUCACAUUUCCAAGUAAACAUGAACAGUCUUCUGCCCCAUGUGAAAACCAUUCAGCCUUAACUAAACUAUAAUAACAAAUUAAACCUGAUGAGAUUAUUGAUUAAAAUAUAGAGAUUUACUUUUCCUUUCCAAUCAUUUUCAACAUCUUUAUGCCAAUCAUGACACGAUAGUAUUUCAGCAGAAGAGCUGAGUUUUUUGCACACAGUGGCUUAUGAGUUCCCGAAUGUUAACCAGUUUAUGUCUGGACAUGUCAGCAUCUAACAAAAAGAAGAGAAAUACAGAAAUGCAAUAGGAGGGAGGAGGGUAGUGGGUACCUAACCUUGCUAAAGCAAUGAAGUGUCUCUUUGACUACUAAUUAAACUUGAAACAAAAGGUAUUUCUGGAUUAACAGCCAUGGAAUCAUUAAGAGUUGCUUUGUUAAGUAUUGUAUCAGUCAUCAUGACAAAAAAAAAAAAACAAUUGGUACAAAAGGAUAUUAUAACAUUAAAAUGUAAUGUAAACAACCAUAUCUUAAAAUCAUAAAGAGUUGAAUAAGAUCAAAAAGACAACAAAACUAAUGUCUGAACCACUAUCACAAAAACCAAUCAAGAUUCAACACCCAUAAACAUAAGUUCAAAAAACCCUAAGCAACAAUGGAAGGCUUAGAAGCAGAUGAAAGCCUGGACCUCUUUUUAGCAAGACUCUCACUUCGCUUUUCCCUUUGCUCCUUGAGCCUGCUUGCAAGAAGCUUCUGGUAAUCUGCAGCCUCUGAUUUGGCCUUUGCAAUCCUCUUCUUCUUGUCAGCAAUUCUCGCCCUCUUCCUUUGAAGUGUAAGUGGUGUCACCAACCUCUGUAUCUUAGGAGCCUUGCUCACCUCCUUACCUGUAUGUAUCAAAAAUUACCAUUACACCCUCCAAUCAAUGAUUCAUUCUACUAUAUACCCUUUUGCAAGAGACAUAAAAAUCAAAGGCUUACCAGCUUUGUUUGUGAAGGUUCUGCGAUAGGUGUUGACAUACUUCCUGACAUCAUCUUCUUUUGAGAGAUUGAAAAGCUUGCGGAUCUUUGAUGCUCUUUUGGGUCCCCUCAUCCUUGGCUUCUCAACAUCGGUCAGUCCGGGCAGGUCAUUGUCACCCUUCUUCACAAUCACCAAAUUCAAGACAGACAGAUCUUGGCUCACAAUGCACCCUCGCACAGACUUCCUCCUGCGUUCACCAUUACGCCUUCCAUACCCCCUGAAGCAAGGAGUACCUAGAUAGGGGCAAAAAAGUCAUUUACUUAAUAUCAAAGCAAAUUGAUUAAAGUAUAUAAAGUUAAA